This is a long non-coding RNA of Syngnathus acus (greater pipefish), 918 nucleotides long. RefSeq lists it as uncharacterized. NCBI's taxonomy places the organism in Eukaryota, Metazoa, Chordata, Actinopteri, Syngnathiformes, Syngnathidae. The transcript has 3 exons. The record is from RefSeq and is a predicted model, not a curated record.
UGCAACCCUCAGCAUCACCAUUGUAAAGCAAAAACUCAUUUAAACCGGAAAACCAAUAUUUGAGUGUAAAAAUAAAAAAAAGUAAAGGUGGAUUUGCGUCGUGGUUGUCGGUAACCCGCGUGGCAAUGAAAUUAUUUUGACAGCAAAGACCGGAAAUUAUGCUUUUCACGCUUGACAACUUGACCCUUAGUUAAACUGGAAGCAGACGAAGAACAAUGGACCUUGCCGGGGAGCCCCCACCGUGGGACCGCCACGGAGGGAGUAGAUGGGCGGGGAGCCUCCUCUUCCAAGCCACCCAAGAGGCCGAGGCUUAAAGCCGCACAGAGCGACAUCCAGCCUGGCUUGUGGCACCAUCCCCUCCCCACCAGACGCUUCUCAGCAGGAGCACCCCCCCGUACCUCCCAGCCCCCAAGGGACCCCUCGGCAAUGCACCCAAGCCUCUCUCAAGAUAUCAAAAAUCACAGAAGAUAUCCCACAAUGCCUGUAGGCUGUCGGCGCAACAUCUCCACACUCCCCUCAGAGGGUCCUGCAAGUAAAGGCAAGCUUUAUCAAAUAGAAUUAUUGCUUUGUGUUCGCUUGGAUGCAGAAGGCACUGUGAAUUAAAAUGAAACUUUAUAUCUUUUUGGCUAUAAAUGUCUCACUGAAGCACAACAAAUCCCUGCUUGAGUUUAUGAGUUAAGAGUCAGAUGUAAGCGCCUGAACAUGAUUGUGUAAAAUGUCUUUAGUUACUACUUAGUUGAAACUAACUCAAUAUGCUAGAAGGUUGUAGAAAGCAGCGAUUUUGGAAGUGUUGAUAAUCAAAACAUUUAUGUAUAAUUGCAGAAAUGUGUAUUAUAAUUGUGUAAAUCUAUUGUCGUUAUUUUAAAUAUAUUUCAAGGGGGCCCACUGCCCCCUGUCCCCACGCUUGUGCUUCUAUAC